AGCGACUUCCUGUCCGUGGGCUGAGAGGAGGGUGAUCAUGGGCCUGGGCCGCAGAACAGUGGCUCGGAGGGCGCAGGCUGCCCGGCCUCCGCCCCCUGCAAGCUGAGGGCUGUCCGCGCUGUCUUUCCGACGGCCCCACCCCCGGCUCUCUGAGCUCCGCGAGGUGAAGUCAUCUCCCGGGGGCUCGGGAGUGGCCGCGGGCCUCGCGGAGGUUCCCGGAUCUCGGCGUCGUUGCCGCGGUGUCCUUGUCUUUCUUUUGGGGACCAGGAGGGGGUUCUUGGGGGAAGGAGGGGAGAGCGGAGGCCGCCAUCUUGCUUCUAGAGGGUCAGCUCAUGUUCCCUGGGCGUCUCAGGGUUGAGGCCGCUCGUGUGGCGUGGCCGGGGGUAUUCAGAGCGGAGCUGGCGACGUGGCUUGUCACGGGCCAAAUCCCAGGAGGCGGGUCAGCCGCCUACCCUGGCUGGAGGGUCUCGUGGCUGCCCUGGGCCUCAUCUAACUGCUGAUCCCCUGGAGAAUUCGCUUUCUCGGACGGUCUGCGAGUUCUUUCUGAGGGGUGUCGGACCCCCCUGCGACUCUGCAGGUGUCGGUGUGGCACUGAGAUCAUCUUGCGGCCCCAUGGCACUGUGAUUUGGUAGCUUGUGAGAAGUAGUUUCACUAAAUCCGUAAAUUUAAGUUAGCAGCUACAGAUUCUUAUGUCUUGACAUUUAUUCGCUUAUCUCUCUUUGCUCCCCACAAAUUGAGUACCAACUAUAUUCCUGGUAUGAGCCAUUCAAGGAAUGUCCAGUCUAGUGGGCAGACAUACAUGAAAGCAAAUCAUUGCUAUUGGAAGUAUGGUUUAUCAAGAUGUACAGCGUGAAGAAUGGAUAGCUUUACUAACGUAGGUUAGAGUUUUAAAGAUAAAUAGGCAUUUUCUACUACAAAAAUAGGGGUGGGAUGGCAAAUCCGGAUCCGAACAGAAAGGAGAUGCAGCACGGGGACAAAUAAUUUGUUGAGAAGAAUGAGUAAUAAUUACAGGUCUUGAAGUUCAAACUUAGGUUGCUGAAGAAGAUGAGGCUGGAGAAGAAAACAGGAGCCAAAUCACGAAUCGUCUAUGCCUUGGUGAGGCAAUGAGUGGACAGAUUACAAUUUAAGCUAUUCUUCUGUUGGUAGAGAACAGAUAACUUGGGGGGGUGGAGGUGGGGGGGCAGAGAAGGAUAAGCAGAGAGCCCACAAGGGGGCCAUUGCAGAAGCCAGUAAGAGAAAACUUAAGGACCCUGUGUGAAUGGUAGUGAGCAUCCAAAGGAGAUGGAUUCCUAAAAUAUUCAAGAGGCCAUAUCAACUGGUAAUUGGUUGCUAGGGGCAGCUGCCAGAUAGGAGAAUGGAAGAGGCAAUGAUGAUGCCUUGUUUUGCUUUGAGGGAGGGGCAGGAUAAGGGUGUAUUUUACUAAAUAAGAUAAGGAAGAGUUAGGAUGAGUCCUGGGAGGGGACAUUUUUGCAGAAAAAAAAUGAGUUCAGUUUUGGAGUUGAUGAGUGAAGUAAGAGUGGUGCUGUCUAAUGGUGGUUGCUAUAUGGGUCUAGAGCUCUAGGGAGGAGCUGGGCUGAAGUUGGAAACACCACAGGUUUAGAUGACCAUAACCAAGCUGACUGCAGUCUUACGUCAUUGAGCACAGUUUCAAAACCACUUCUCCUUUCUCCCUGCCUUUACUUGGGAAAAUUACUGAAAUACUGCAUUAAAAAACCCAAUAUGGUGAUAUGUGUCCAUCCAUAGACCAAUAUUCUAAUGUUUAAUGGUCUUCUAAGGACCCUAAAGGUCAGGUUUAGCAGAAACUGGAUGUAACAGUGGUAACUAUUAAUAGUAUAGCAUCAUUAACUCAUAAAAUGAAAUAUUAUCUAUGUUUAUAUUUUAAUAUUUUAAUUUUUUUCUUUUUUAUUCUGUAGGAAUUGCUCCAUUCCAAUAAAAAUAUUUUAAAUUUAAUCAUUGACAACAGUUAAGCUGGCCAUAGGCUGAGGAUUGAGGAUGGUGGGUUGCACAAAUAUCUGCUGAAUGGAGAGCUAGAAGGAGGAUGACUUCAAGAAGAGUCAGCAAUAGGAACGCAAUGAAAGACAACCUCAAAUUCAUUAGUCAGCCUGUCUCAGCUGCUUUUUGGUGGCUCACAGCUAUGCUAACCUAGCAUAAAGCAGUGAGAAAUAGAAUACUUCAUUUUGAGCAGAGCUUCAGAAAACCACAAAUAGUAAAAGCCCUAUAAAUAAUAGCUACAGCUGCAAACCAAAGACUAAUUAUUAGUUUUUAACUCUAUAUCCCUGUAGAGCAGCAUUUUUGAACACACAAAAAAAGAGAAACGCGUUCACUUACGUCUUAGAUUAUUUAAAUACAGUAUUCUCAAUUUGUCUAGGAUAAAAAAGCAUUUAGGUGUAUUGAACAACCAUAUAAUGGAUAAUAUACUGAACAGGAAAUGAGAAUAAUUAGCUUGAGUCCCUUUUUUGUCAGUUGUUCACCGUAUGACCCUAGCAAUGUUACUUAACCUCUCUAUGCCCUAGUUUCUCUGACUGUAAAAUAGAGAUAAUAAUAACUUUCUAUCAGCCGCCUCUCAAAGAUAUUAUAGGAAAUAACAAAUUAAUGCUAUGAAAGCUCUUUGAGGUACUUGGAUGAAAGGGCAUAAUUGUAAGUACAUAUUAUUAGUAAUUAGCACUAAUAUCCAGUAGCACCCAUGAGCAUUCCUGACUUUGCUGCCUGGAUUACUCAAAGAACAUGAAGGAUCCUGUUUUGAAAUACACUUAGAUCUUUUUUCUUAACUUGUGAAUUGACUUUACUAUUUAUGAUCAAACCUUGUGUAUUAACAAAUAUAGUUAAUGAAAGAGGGAAGUAAAAAGAAGUUUUGGUAACCACAACUUUUAUAUUCAUGCUACUCAUAGCUAAUAUAUGCUUUGGGGGAAAAUACAGGGUAGAUAGGGAUUUGCCAGAAGCAUGUUUUAGAAUUAAUGAUUAGUCUACUCCAGUCAGUUAACUGGAAUUUUGUAUUAAAAACAUUAUUCAUGUCCCCAUAGAAUAAUGCAGUCCCUAUAGAAUUUAUAGACAGUUACAUGUUUGACACAAUUAAGUUGAACAUUCCUGUGAAACUCUGUCAUUCUCAUCACUGUUUAAUCACAAACAUGUAAUGAAAUAUAUAGACUUGUGAAGUUUUGUCCAA
RNAcentral lists this long non-coding RNA (3163 nucleotides) under Homo sapiens (human). RNAcentral describes it as "non-protein coding lnc-MPLKIP-5:5". Lineage: Eukaryota; Metazoa; Chordata; Mammalia; Primates; Hominidae. The record is from RNAcentral.